Pelobates cultripes (western spadefoot toad) is the source of this 211-nucleotide non-coding RNA. The record is from the annotation of a GenBank genome assembly. Lineage: Eukaryota; Metazoa; Chordata; Amphibia; Anura; Pelobatidae.
UGGAGAUAAAUCAAUAAAAGCCUUUCCUUGUAAACUGAUAAUCAGACAAAUAAGAGCAAUUUUAGCUAAAUCGAAAUUAGGAGAAAGACAAGCAAUGCAGUGUUACAUAGUUACAUAGCUGAAAAGAGACUUGCGUCCAUCAAGUUCAGCCUACCUCACAUUUGUUUUUUGCUGUUGAUCCAAAAGAAGGCAAAAAAACCCAGUUUGAAGC